This 325-nucleotide unclassified non-coding RNA is filed under the name soil metagenome. Its description in RNAcentral is "partial contains 5.8S ribosomal RNA, internal transcribed spacer 2, and large subunit ribosomal RNA". The stretch from base 1 to 120 matches the Rfam family "5.8S ribosomal RNA", at positions 35 to 154 of the family's 154-position model. The record is from RNAcentral.
GAUGAAGAACGUAGCGAAAUGCGAUAAGUAAUGUGAAUUGCAGAAUUCAGUGAAUCAUCGAAUCUUUGAACGCACAUUGCGCCCGCUAGUAUUCUGGCGGGCAUGCCUGUCCGAGCGUCAUUUCAACCCUCAAGCCCCGCUUGGUGUUGGGCCCCGCCCGCCGUGGCCGGCCCUAAAGACAGUGGCGGCGCCGCCUGGCCCUCAGCGUAGUACAGCUCUCGCUCCAGGGUCCGGCGGCCGCCUGCCAGAACCCCCCCAACUCUGUGGUUGACCUCGGAUCAGGUAGGGAUACCCGCUGAACUUAAGCAUAUCAAUAAGCGGAGGA